Molecule: ribosomal RNA, 246 nt
Filed under: uncultured bacterium
Lineage: Bacteria
Description: partial 16S ribosomal RNA
Rfam family: Bacterial small subunit ribosomal RNA
Source: RNAcentral
AUACGUAGGGGGCAAGCGUUAUCCGGAAUCACUGGGCGUAAAGGGUGCGUAGGUGGUUUCUUAAGUCAGGAGUGAAAGGCUACGGCUCAACCGUAGUAAGCUCUUGAAACUGGGAAACUUGAGUGCAGGAGAGGAAAGUGGAAUUCCUAGUGUAGCGGUGAAAUGCGUAGAUAUUAGGAAGAACACCAGUGGCGAAGGCGAUUCUCUGGACUGUAACUGACGCUGAGGCUCGAAAGCGUGGGGAGC